This 1178-nucleotide long non-coding RNA is filed under the name Gallus gallus (chicken). RNAcentral's name for it is "lncRNA (ENSGALG00010000972.1)". Lineage: Eukaryota; Metazoa; Chordata; Aves; Galliformes; Phasianidae. The record is from RNAcentral.
AUCUUUUUCUGGCAAUUGCCCCCUUUGCAGUUUUCUGCUGUGAGCCUAGGAGACAGAUGCAUCUAAAACGCCAGCUAUGAUCAUUUGAAUACAACUACAACACGUACGAAGAAGCAACGAAUAAAAUUACAAGCGGUGGUCAAUAGGUGGCGCUUUUCCCCUUCCUGAUGUCCCUUAGACCCCACCAGCACCACGGAAGAAGUGUUUUAAAAGAACAUUUUGAAAAACUUUCGUAAGGAAUGUAAGUUGAUGAGAAGUAAUGUAAAACAGGAAUUUUUGAUCAUAUCGUGGGCCUUUUUUUGCACUGUCACUGAGUGGAUGGACUUAAACCAGAAUUGCACAAAUCACUGAAAUAAAUGAAUUUAGUUUAUAGCUAACAAUUUACUGUUUUCCAAUAGUAUUGAGAAAGUUGGCCACACUCCCACGACUUCGUUGGAGUUCUGUCUUUUUUUCAGAAGGAUUCUUAUUUUCAAAGAAAAAGAGACAUUGUUAGAAAGAUUCAGUGACAGAACAGCAGUUCUUGGUACAAAAAAAAUGCCCAACACAGCUUCUUUUUGGUCAAAUCUAACAUAAUGGAAAAAAAAACUGUCAAAAUUAUUAUAUGCCAUUUUAAAAUGACAUUUCAACAGACUGCAUAUUGGUUGACUACUGAAUUUUUGUAAGUGAUACCUAUUUUAACGUAGCAUGAAAAAUCAAUAUUAAAAGAAUAUAUGCUAACUAUAAGCCUGAAAUCCGGGUUCCAGUGUGAAACCUACAUAAGCAUCAGUGUCUAAAAAGAAUUCACCUUGGUUUUCAUGAAGGAAGAAAAGGAUCUCUUUUUCUUAAGAACAGAAAUAUAUUUAAAAUUCUGCCUUAUACUGUAGGAAAAAAAAAAAGGCAGCGCACACUCAUCUGCACACAUACAUGUGUGCAAGGGCACACUGUAUAUUCACAUGCAGAAUCUUCAUAUACAAUCUUAUUAUUCCUAAAGUAGAGUUAUUUUAAAAGCAAAGAGAUAAUUGAUUAGCAGUGCAAGACAUUUUCUAAUGCUGGAAGGCAAAGUAGAGUUUCUUAUCUACUUUCUCUUAUCAAUAUCUUAAAAUGAAAACUACAUUUCAAGAGCAAAGUUAUUAUAUCGUGAUAAGAAGUUUCAGCCAUAACUAAGAAUUUUGCAUUGAUUAAUAAGUGGAAUUAAAAGG